GCUCAGCGAAAAGCUACACUUUAUGAUUAUUAUUAUUAUUGGUAUUUAUAUAGCGCCAACUAAUUCCACAGCGCUUUACAAUAUUGUGAAAGGAGGACACAUUUACAAUAAAUGAGACAAUUACACAGUGAACAAUAGGUAGACGAGGGCCCUGCUCAAACAAGCUUACAGUCUAGAGGUUUAAAGCUAAUCACGAUCAUGCACGAAUGGACUCUCCCAUAUUCAUGAUGACUGACUCUCUUUGUAUCCAGGUUUGUCUAUCAUUUCAUACACGGGAUCCUCAUUUAUCUCAUUGUAAAUUUUCAGAAUUUCGUUUUCAGUUGUUCUUAAAUCAAGUACACACUGAUGCAAAAAGAUAUACUGCUCCUAAAACACAAAUUAAAGGAUUAGUGUCUGUCCCUAUUCAUUUAUCCUGCAGCCUUAUCUUAAUCACACAAACAGUACUGCACUUCAAAAUGUGUACAUGUAAAUUUCACACACUUAAUUUGAAUUUGUGGAUUUGCAUCUAUCCUAGGUAAAAGAAAACCUAAAUAGAUACCCCAUAUUGGGAAGAGCCUUUUUUGGAUUGUUUUACAUUAUCUUAAUCAAAAAUCAUAUCAUCAAUAGUAUCACGACAAUGCCAAAGGUAGCAAUCUCAUGUUUUUAUAUACAACAAAAAUAAUG
Non-coding RNA from Pelobates cultripes (western spadefoot toad), 663 nucleotides. The record is from the annotation of a GenBank genome assembly. NCBI's taxonomy places the organism in Eukaryota, Metazoa, Chordata, Amphibia, Anura, Pelobatidae.